Long non-coding RNA from Apis mellifera (honey bee), 3271 nucleotides. RefSeq lists it as uncharacterized. The transcript has 4 exons. Lineage: Eukaryota; Metazoa; Arthropoda; Insecta; Hymenoptera; Apidae. The record is from RefSeq and is a predicted model, not a curated record.
AGCGUGCGCACCAUUGACACGUGACGAAAAAUGGAGUCCAGGAGAGAAAUCACGAGCCAAGAUUUUCGUGGCGGUAAUUGACGUGGGCGGUUUAAGAUAUCGAGUAAUCUUCUUGAAGAUACAUGACAGGAAAUUUGUUUGAGCUUAAAAGUCGUUAGCCGACCAUUACAUUCGAAUGCUUUCAAGAGUGGCCGGCGGAUAGAUGAGGUAGGAGGCAGAGAGGCAGGAGUCGCGAGAAACCAUCCAAGCAGCGUCACUGUAAUCCGAGCCACGAGCGGAAUUUCAAUCUCCCGGCAAAUGGAACACCGUGGUCCCAUGGCGUAAAGGUCGCCAACCGCGCGUGCACGCCAUCCAGGACGGACGGCCUGAUGAUGGUCCGGGUCGGUCGUUACCCAGGCUAAGUGGAUCGCCGUUACGGUGAUCAGGGAAGACGAUCCUCUUCAUGGAAGUAAUCGAGAGCUCCUUAUUACACUCUAUCCGACACUUGAUUAUUCUUCCAAUGAUGGAUUAAUUAAGUUGGCCGAUUCGCCGAUGUUUUCCACGUGUCAACAGGUGUCGGACAAGCACAAUCGAUUUCUCAAUCAAUCUCGAGUAUCCUCGUAACUUUCCACCACGAUCAUUUUGCCCGACCGUUCUCUCGUCUCGAUUUAUCUAAAACAUUCGUUAUUUUCAGACAAAACAGUCAUUAUCGAGGUGAAUAACGACCACUUUGCAAAACGACGAACAAUGCUUUUUGUACUGUGACACGUCUCGUAUUUACGCACUUACAAUACGUUGUUUCACGAUUCCUCAAUGGUUUUUUUUUUUUACAAUUUCACGUGCUGUAUACAAUGAUGCAAGUAUAGAAAAAUACUGUGCAAUAUAAAGAAGAUUUAUCGUACGUACAUUGUAAUAGUUUCUUUUUUCUUAUAAUAGACUCAUUCUUGCCUUUCAGACAAAAAACACAAUAUGAGUUAUUUCAAUUCUGUCUGUUGCAAAUUACAGUCACUUAGUUAAUGACCAAUUAAAUAUACAUAUGUUUAUACCUCAAUCAAUAUAUGUAAUAUGUCAUUUAAAUAACUUUCAAUUACCUGUAAUAAAAAUUGCUGUAAAAGAUUUAAAACAAAGUUAAAAAUCAAUCUUCGCGAACGUUCCUCCUAAGAACAAUCUUUUUUCCCUCUUCGCAAGCAAUAAUUUCCAUCUACCUGCCAAACAACUUAUCCGAUCAAUAACUUGAAUUGAAAUAAAUCCAAAGAGACAAGCGGCGAUACAAAAUUGACACAUAUUAGAUCGUAAAACCUUAUCCUGGUCGGCCUGUUACGACCAAUCACGAUAACAUUUCGCGAAUGAAAAGAUCACUUACAGGUUGGAAAAUCCUUCGACCCCGUUCUCACGAUACUGGUUGGACGGUAGCCAAGGAAUUCUUAAUAAUAAUCCAGGUAUUUUCCAAGUUGGACAUAAGAUACUCUCGGAUACUGGUCGAUCCGGUCACUGGCCUUGCUACAUUUUUCAAAAUUAAUUAAAAAUAUUUUUCCUAUUUACGAAAACUGGUUCCGGCUGAAACGAGAUUUCACGAGAAGUCGCUAAGAGAUAAGAACGGCUAGGCGAAAUGAUUGGCUGUAACGUGAGAGUGACACCUUCAUUUUCAUCUUUGAUCUGAAGCUGAUAAUGAAGAAAUGAGAUGCAUUGAAAUAAAGUAGGGUAAUAAAGAUGAUAAUUUGGAAGAUUUUCGCAUAGAUAGAGGAGAGAUUUCUGUAAUAAAGAUUUCUCAUAUCCUCGAAUAUGAUGCUCUCAUUAUUAUAAUCAGGGUUUAUUAUGUAAUUCUAAAUUCUAAAUUCUAAUAAUCUGUCUACAAUAAAUUCUAAUAUCAAUUUCAAAUUAUUCAAAUUCUAGAUGAAAAACUAUGGAAUAAAAUUUUUCAAAUUUCUUCCAGACUUAUAAAAUUUCCUCUCCUCUUUUACAACAACCAUGACUGAUUUUGAAUUUUUUUAGGAUCCUUGGCCAACUGUUUAAAACUAAAAUCAAGAACCUUCUUAAGAACUUACUGCAUAUUAAUUAUAAAGUCAAAAGAGAAUAAGAUGAGCCACCUUUGCCAAGUCCUUAGAACCAAGAAGAACCAAGAAACAUUUUUAAGACUUAUUGCAUUAUCUUUGUAUUGUAAGGGCAAAGAAGAAUUAAAUGGAAUUAGCCUUGCCUCCAUGCCGAAAAAUAGAUGGUUAGCCAAUAUCUCAUCUGUUGGUACAAUACUUGGCCAGAAGGCAGCACGUUUCUCUCAUUAUGCCUCAACCGUCUCGAAAUCCUAACUGUACAAUGCACUCACCCCGCCCAAGGGGCCAGCAUCCUCGACACGCUCCCGUGUGGACGUGGAACGCAGGAACGUGGUCGAUUAUUUCGCGGAGAGAGAGGGAGCGAGAAGGUCGCAGACACACACCGAGUUAAGGGCCUCUUCUCUCGAAUCGGUCAUCUUGAUUUACGACGUCGGAAGCGGCCGUAGAUACUUCACGCACUCGCACACUUACCACACACGCACACACUUGCCGUGAAUCGAUCUGUCUACCUAGCCGUAGACGCAGUUGGAAAAAUCGAGGCGGUUCUACACGUGGCCUUGAGACGCCUCGCUUUUUGAUAUUUGUAUCAGAGGCGAGAUGUGAGAGUGUGCGACGAGAGUUGGUAUGAGGGAGGGGAUUUAAUGGGAUUUAAGGGUUAAUGAUGGUCGUGAUUGGAUGGAAGAGGUUGAAGUGGAGUGGCAGACGGUUAUUUAUAUUUGGAUUCUAUUUUGAGAUGCAUACGUAUAUGUAUAAAAAAGUGUGAUAUAUAUUAUGGUAAUGGUUGGAGAUUAAUCGUAAUUUUUCAUUAUGAUGUUUACCAGUCAUAUCAUGUUUAGUUUAGUAAAAGGAAUUUUCAAUUUUUCAAUCAUAUUUUCCAAAAAUAUAUAUGAAAGAAUUAGAGAAUUUAUUUUUGUUAUUUAAUCAAUUUUUCAAAAAAAUUCUUUUCCAAUAUCAAGUCAAAAUUCACAUUAUAAGAAUUUUUAAAUGAUAGAUUAACUAAAAAUACUAAUACUAGAACAGAAGCAAUAAAAUUAAAUGUACCUAGAAAUUAUAAAAUAACAGUUUACUCUAAUUAUAACUAACAAAAGAUAAUAAAUUCUAAAGUUGAUCAAUAAAAGUCAAUCUCAUAACGAAGACCAUAAACUUUAUCGAAUUUCAACACAAAACUAUUAACUUGAUUAACCUUUAAACUCAAUUCUUGUAAAAGGAUCUAACCUAAAAAAGAAGGAGGGAAAAAAAAAAAA